UAGGGAUUCUUCCGCAAUGGACGACCGUCUGACGGAGCAACGCCGCGUGGGUGAAGAAGGUUUUCGGUUCGUAAAACUCUGUUGUUAGGGAAGAAAAAAUGUAUAGUAACUAUAUACAAAAGAGACGGUACCUAACCAGAAAGCCACGGCUAACUACGUGCCAGCAGCCGCGGUAAUACGUAGGUGGCAAGCGUUGUCCGGAAUGAUUGGGCGUAAAGCGCGCGCAGGUGGUUUAGAAAGUCUGAUGUGAAAGCCCACGGCUCAACCGUGGAGGGUCAUUGGAAAAUAAUAAACUUGAGUGCAGGAGAGAAAAGUGGAAUUCCUAGUGUAGCGGUGAAAUGCGUAGAGAUUAGGGGGAACACCGGUGGCGAAAGCGGCUUUUUGGCGUGCAACUGACACUGAGGCGCGAAAGCGUGGGGGGCAAACAGG
Molecule: ribosomal RNA, 429 nt
Filed under: Verrucomicrobiota bacterium
Lineage: Bacteria; Pseudomonadati; Verrucomicrobiota
Description: Verrucomicrobia bacterium partial 16S ribosomal RNA
Rfam family: Bacterial small subunit ribosomal RNA
Source: RNAcentral